UAGAAAUUGGAAAUCAAAAUUAAAAACCAUCUUCAGAGUCUGUAACCUCAGAGAGAACUCCCAGUUUCAGCGAUUUGAAGGAUGAUAGAGGGCUACUGUGAAGACUUUGUUGAUAAAGAGAAUAUGCCCAAAAUACUUUUAAACGCGCAAUUAUGACUGACCAUGCUUUUACAGUACUUUAAAACUAACAGGGUUUAUUUGUUUCCAGGUGGCCAUGGAACGGCGUCACGGGCUGCUGCAGAUGGUUUCAACAGUCCUGAUGGAUGCCCUUCAUCUGUGCCUGCAAGAGGAACCCCAGGCUUCAUGUAUGGCCUUGCUGUGAUCUAGUAUGAUGCUCUACUCUUCCACUGAACUCUACUUGCUCUAGCUGAGGAGCUUGGCUAUAGUUUAGCCUUUUAUUUUUAUAUUAAGCUGUUGUUGAGGAAGGAGCUUUGACAAUAGAAGUGACCAAGCAGCAGGUCCAUUUCCACUGUCGAAGGCAGCUGGAAACUCAUCUCUAUGGAUAGAAAUACAAGCCCCUCCACACUCUGUUCCUGGCUGCUUCAUUCGUUUUUCCAGAACUGCACAUCACUGAGAAUCACCUCCUGUGCUCAUCUUCCAGACCUGUAGCCUGCGGUACCUGCUCUAUCAGAAUGUACUCUGCUAACCACAU
Molecule: long non-coding RNA, 652 nt
Organism: Grammomys surdaster
Lineage: Eukaryota; Metazoa; Chordata; Mammalia; Rodentia; Muridae
Exons: 3
Source: RefSeq, a predicted model, not a curated record